Molecule: ribosomal RNA, 497 nt
Filed under: uncultured bacterium
Lineage: Bacteria
Description: partial 16S ribosomal RNA
Rfam family: Bacterial small subunit ribosomal RNA
Source: RNAcentral
GACGAACGCUGGCGGCGUGCCUAAUACAUGCAAGUAGAACGCUGAAGAGAGGAGCUUGCUCUUCUUGGAUGAGUUGCGAACGGGUGAGUAACGCGUAGGUAACCUGCCUUGUAGCGGGGGAUAACUAUUGGAAACGAUAGCUAAUACCGCAUAACAAUGGAUGACACAUGUCAUUUAUUUGAAAGGGGCAAUUGCUCCACUACAAGAUGGACCUGCGUUGUCUUAGCUAGUAGGUGAGGUAAUGGCUCACCUAGGCGACGAUACAUAGCCGACCUGAGUGGGUGAUCGGGCACACUGGGACUGAGACAAGGCCCAGAAUCCUACGGAAGGCAGCAGUAGGGAAACUUCGGCAAUGGGGGCAACACUGACCGAGCAAAGCCGCGUGAGUGAAGAAGGGUUUCGGAUCGUAAAGCUCUGUUGUAAGUCAAGAACGGGUGUGAAAGUGGAAAGUUCACACUGUGACGGUAGCUUACCAGAAAGGGACGGCUAACUACGUG